Molecule: ribosomal RNA, 421 nt
Filed under: uncultured Lachnospiraceae bacterium
Lineage: Bacteria; Bacillati; Bacillota; Clostridia; Lachnospirales; Lachnospiraceae
Description: bacterial SSU rRNA
Rfam family: Bacterial small subunit ribosomal RNA
Source: RNAcentral
UGGGGGAAUAUUGCACAAUGGGGGGAAACCCUGAUGCAGCGACGCCGCGUGAAGGAAGAAGUAUCUCGGUAUGUAAACUUCUAUCAGCAGGGAAGAUAGUGACGGUACCUGACUAAGAAGCCCCGGCUAACUACGUGCCAACAGCCGCGGUAAUACGUAGGGGGCGAGCGUUGUCCGGAAUUACUGGGCGUAAAGGGUGCGUAGGCGGUUUGGUAAGUUGGAUGUGAAAUACCCGGGCUUAACUUGGGGGCUGCAUCCAAUACUGUCGGACUUGAGUGCAGGAGAGGAAAGCGGAAUUCCUAGUGUAGCGGUGAAAUGCGUAGAUAUUAGGAGGAACACCGGUGGCGAAGGCGGCUUUCUGGACUGUAACUGACGCUGAGGCACGAAAGCGUGGGGAGCAAACAGGAUUAGAUACCCUGGU